Molecule: long non-coding RNA, 7040 nt
Filed under: Ananas comosus (pineapple)
Lineage: Eukaryota; Viridiplantae; Streptophyta; Magnoliopsida; Poales; Bromeliaceae
Description: long non-coding RNA (ACOM_LNC034408)
Source: RNAcentral
AAUAAAUGCGGAAAAUAAAAAGCACACCGAGAUUUACGUGGAAAAACUCCAACUUGGAGUAAAAAACCCACGGAACCAACACGCGAAAAAAUAAUUCACUAAGAGAAAAGAUUACAAGGUAAUUACCGACUCCACGGACUCAACCUCUCUUAACCUCCUAUGAAUCUUCGCGCUAUCCUCCGGGUUGUCCACGCCCUCACGUUCGAAUCCACGAACGCCUCCACUUCGAAUCCACGAAGCUUCAAUCACGCCGAAUCCACGACGCCACUCGAAUCCACGAGCCAAUGCUCCGAAUCCACGAACCGCCUUUGUUCACGCCGAAUCCACGACGCCGUUCAUGAAGAGCAUCAUGAUUAUGGUGAUCCUUCGCUUAGGAGUAUCGUAGAAAACCAGGGAAUAGAACUCCAAGCGAAGCGGAGAUCAAAUCGACAUAUAGAGAAUGCGAAACGAUAUCUCGAUUUGAUCUAAAGAGGCUAAUUUGUAGAAAAGAGGUUUAGAAUGAAAUCCGAGCCUCUAGGGUUUCUCAAACAUGUAUUCUUAUGAUACUUGAUAUGUUAGAGAAGCCCAAUAGCUUAUUUAUAGACUUUAGAAUCAAUUGGAGUCGGAUUAGAAAGAUUUCACGAUUUUACACUGUAUACCGGUACACUUAGGCUGUCACCGGUUACACGAUGAUGGAACGAAAAACCUGACGAAACAGUGAAACCAGUUACAUCCUUGAUGGCCGUACCAGUACACAUUUUGUACCGGUACACUUCUGAUGCUGUACAGGUACACUUUGCAAAUUUCCGCCGUUUCGGGUUUUGCAAAGUUCCGAUGCACUUUUUAAUCCGUUAGACAUUGAUAUUAUGAUUCUAAUGUCUACAACUAAGUAUGAAUCACCACAAUCACGAAUUAACACUUUACCUGGACAUCGUGAUUCACAGUGUGAGUUAUUUUCCAACUUCUUCGAAAUCUUGAAUUUUUCGAUCUUCGACAAUACGGACCGAUUCUUCAAGACUCCGACUCAUUUCACGAAACUUGCCAACACAUAAGACUUAACAAUCUCCCCCUUUGGCAAUUUCGUGACAAAACUCACACAAACUCAAAAAUUAUAAUUUAAAGAAAAACGAAGUUCAAUUGUCAUCACCAAAACAUUGAACUCCUCGCGUGGUAAUCCAAAUACAAUUUGAAACUUAAACUUACAUCAAAACUUCUAAAACAGACUCUAUGACUUAGACGCAAUAAGGAGUUUGAAGUCUUGAUUUCCUGCAAAACAAUUUGUCCAAAAAGAUAUAGAAAGUUAAAUUCUGGACAUUCUUACAAUUUACGCUUCUUCUCCCCUUUUGUUCUUUAUUCUUUCUUCUUCUCGAAAUAUCACUCCUUGUCUCCCUUUGUUCACCUUUGCUUUAGAUCAAUACCUGUUCAUCAUUGUUCUCCCCCUUUUUGUCAAAAAUUGCCAAAGAUAAACAUAUAAAGAGAGAAAACAUACUAAAAGCAUAAGAGUAGUCAAAUUAUAGUUACAGGCCUAAAACAAAAGUAAAAACAUGCAAAAGAAAGAUAAGCAAGCAAAUCUAAAACAUCGUCCUAGAAAGUAAUCAUAAUAAAGUAACAAGACGAAGCUCAAGGAAGACAUCACUCCGUGUCCUCGUCGUCAUCAUCAUCAUCUCUUGCGCCAGCUCCAGAUCCCCCAGCCUCAGGAGUAUCACUAGACGGUAGAAUGAGAGGAUGUCGUGAAGUCGAUCUAGUAUACGUGGAGUAAGUAGGCUGAGUAAGGAAAAUGUCAUUAUGCCUACAGCCCAUUUUCUCCAUCAUUCUCUUCAUUCCCAUCUCCACCUUUCUCGCAAGAUCAGCCAAUUUCUUCUUCAUAGAGCGUACCUCAUGGUGAAGGGAUUCGACAGUAAUCACUCCCCUUGAGCUAGAAGAUCCCUCACGCGCUGCUCGAGGUGGAGGUGCUGAACUAGAAGCUCCUCUGGAUGAUCCUUUGGUUUGUUGAAAAGUCUUCAAUGUGCUCCUUGACUUUGCCCAAAUUACAGCGUCAAUAGGUCCAAGUCCAAAGUCAUAUUUCUCACAUGACACGUCAACUCCGUGUUCUUGAAGAAUCCUCGUGAUCAACAAUGGAAACGGAAGUAGAUCACGUCGAACCUGAGACUGUAUGACAUGAACCAUUCGUUGCCACAUAAGAAAUGGAAUAUUGAUGUUCAAUCCGCCUGCUUCCUCAGGAUGUCCAAGAAGAUACAGAAGCACAAGACGAUCCCAACGAAUUCUUUUCGUUCCAAUUGUGGGUUGAACAUUGUAGCUCAUUACCAAUUAGAGCAGCUGAUAUUCAGGUAGCAAAUCCUUAGAUUCCACAUAUGAAUGAUUAGUCCUAACACCUUCCUUGCAUAUAGCUUGAAUAACAGUCUCCCAGUGGGUUGAAGACUGAAAAAGCCCUGUCGUAUAGUGAAGGCCGGUAGUAUCAACAUGCAUACCUAAGAGCUCUCCAACAGUAUAAGGAGUGAUGUGAAUCUUCUGUUUACGCUUAUAAGACUCAAACACAUAAGUCCCAGUCUCCUCAUCCUCUCCAAGUACUACCCCGUUUAUAUAGAACUCUCGAAUUAGUUCCACACAAAAUGGGGCACGAGCUGGAACCCGUCCAACAGGCUCAAUAGGGACCCUCUGCAGCAAUCGGCCAAAAUCUGGUACCUCCUUGACCAGCUCAGUGAAGUUGACAUAGCGCUUAGCUAGAACUGAUCGGCUCGAAUAAAUCUGCUGUCGCUCUAAUGAAGCCUCUGCAACACGUUUGGAGCGCCUUUCACAUGCACGAGAAUCACCUCCUCGUGAGGAUUCACCUGCUAGGCCUUUUCCUUUAGCAGCCCUCGUAACCACUUCUUCAGUAGCUUCAGGUGAGCUUGCUUGAUAAUCUGGAUCUGAUCCUGAUGACUCGUCGGCAGUACGAGUUCUCUUUGAUUGUCCACGUCGUCCUCGACCACCACCACGGCCACGACCAGCGGCCAUAAGUACCAAAAGUAAGAUCACGAGCGAAAAUGCCAUUUUCCUACAUGAAAAUAAGCCAUUCAUGAAGAAAAUUUUGAAAAAUCUGUAAAAAUAGUAGAAAAAUUUCUAAUAACAUUAGAAUGCAUACAAAUGCUAUUUCUAACAAGAUCAUGCAAAAAUUUUCAUCAAAAAAUGACAUUUUACAAAAAAUCCCAAAAUUACAUGAAAAAAGAAGCUUAGAACAUGGAUUAGCGAAAAAUAAUGUGUUUUGAUGUGUUUCAAGUGUUUUAGAAGCAAGAUAAUGUCCUUAAGCAGUGAUCUACAGUAAAAAAUUGCAUAAAAAACAAUCAAAAACAGAGAUCUAAGUAAGAACUCGAAAUUUUUUUAAAAAAAUAUGUAAAAACGAGGUUUGAUCCAUAAAUCCGAGCAAACAACUUACAAAUCCACGUGAAAAGCAGUAAAUCUGAAGAAGAUUGUCGCCUAGGAGCUUCAGGAGAAGAAAGAUGCGGUUUUGAUUAAGAUUUGGGAGAGAAUCGAAACAUGUAUCCGGUUAUAUAACCCGCGGCUACAGUAAUUUGUACCGGUACGGGAUUUUGUACCGGUACACUUUUUCAGAUUUUGAAAAUUUGAAUUUAAAAACCUUUUAAACUUAAAUUAAUUUCAUAUAAAUUAAGGACUUUACUCCAAAAAUAUGUAUGAUGAAGAUAAAAUAUUAUAAGAUUUCAAAAUACAUCGAAACAUCAAAAUUUUAUUAUCGAAAAUAAUCUAAUGAUUAAGAACCAUCAAGAUGUAAGCUGAUGAAAAAUAAUUUUUAGAAAUUCAACAAAAUUGACACCAAUUUAUCGCAAUAUGUUCAAAAUAGAGAUUUAACUAAUAUGGCACCGGGGGUGGCUCUUUGAGCAUCUUUUCAACUUACCACCUUAUAACUCCGAAAAUUCUAAAAUAUUCAAUCAAUUUUUCUUUCAACCUUUUUCGGUUAAUCAAUUCAAUCUUCAUGUGGUAGCUUCACACACUUGCCGGACGACCGGGGUGGUAGCUCUUUCCUACAUGUGGUGGCAGUUUUCACACUCCUUUAGAAUGUAACUCUUUUCACAUCUUUUUAAACAUAGGAGUUUCUUUUUUCCUUUUUUUAUUUUCAAACUCCCCCUAAAUUAGACAAUCUCACAAUUGAAAAUAAUUUUGACGAAUUUUAGUCAAUUAGAGAAUAUCCAUCCAUCAUAUCCAACACACACAACUAAGAUGAAUUAAUCACCAAGAGAUCAAAUUUGAUUUCAAAAUUUUGAUGAAUAUAUGCAUUAAGAGAUCAUAUAUCAAAUUAUCGUCAAAAUAAUAAAAAGUGGAGUAAAAACGAUAAUUAAUAUGAAUUUAACUUAAUAUGAUUGUGAAGAUAAAACCCGUUUAAACAAUCUUUAAAAAAAUUCUCUCCUAAAAAAAAAUUGAUUCUCAAUUAUCUCCUCUCUCAAAGAUUUUGAAAUUCCCAAAUACCUUUCCUCAAAAAAUGAUUUUUAACCAAAUAAAAACCAAAGCACCAAAAAUCGUCUAAACAUGUAAUGCAAUGACUAAAAAUAUACAAUAAGCACCUAUCAAAGCAUUACAUAAAGAAUCAAAACAAACUAAGAUGAAGAACAAGGAAAGAUAUCACCUUUCCGAAUCCAAACUUGUUGGAUUUUGUGUUGUCUCGGCUUGUAGACGUUCGGCAUGGCUUGUUUUGACUUUGGAUCAACCGUUGAUCGCUUCGUUGAUGGUGGCGUUGGUCGGGCUUGACGUUGUGCGUUGGAGCUCCGAUUCCCUCGAGGUACUCGACUUAAUUGUUUUUCCUUGAAAUCCUGUGGGGAAAAUCCGAGUAGUAGAGGGUGCCACUUGACGAUUAGAAGUUGCCGAUUGAUUCUUCUUUUCUUUGUUUGGGCAAUUUCUUUUGAUGUGUCCUUUGAUGCCACAUCGAUGACACACUUUGCCUUUUAAAGUUGUUGAGACUUUAGAUGUCGCCGUUUGAUCCUUCUCAACAUAUGUCCGUUCAUAUCCAAGGCCCAAUUUGCUCGUUUGACCCAAUCCAAGCAUUUUGUCCAACUUCUUUGAUCCCGAAGAAAAUUGUUGAAGAUCGGAUUGGAGUUAACGAACUUGAUCGGUCAAUAAUCUGUUGGAUGUAUGCGAUUCCUCAUAUUGAUGCUCCAAAAAUCCAACUUUAUCUUUAUAAGAGUUAAUCGUUGAUUCUGCUUCAUCAAGCUUCUCUUGGAGGAUAGAAUUAUUUUUCAAAUUUGUUUCCCUUUCCUCCUCAAGAACUUUGUUCGUGGUCUUCAAGUUGUGGUUAUCUUCUUCGAAUUUCAAUAAACGACGCCUCAACUUCUUAUUUAAUUUAGCCAUCUUCUUUGACUCGAUAAGAAGUUGGUUGUAGGCUUCCGCUAUAUCAUCGUCAUUUGAUUCCUCCUCGCUUUCGCCGUUGUCGUUCGAUGAGUCACGCGAGGAAAAAGAAACAUUCGAAUUAGUUGCAAAAGAGGAUAAACAAACAACGUUCGACGAAGGAGUAUUAGCAAAUAAAGCAAUUUGAUCAUUCUUUUCUUCGUCACUUGACGAUGAUUCACUAGAAGAAUCAUCCCAAGUCUUUGCUUGCAUAGCCUUCGAUUUAUAAACUUUCUUUGAAGGACAAUCUGUCGCGAUGUGGCCGUAGCCUUUGCACUUGAAGCAUUGGAUCUCACCUUCAAAUACAUCUUUUUCUUUUGAAGCCUUUGCACGCUUCUUCUCCUUGGAUGUAGACUUAGGAAACGUUUGUUGCUUCGAAGAUGAAGGUUUAUUCGAUUUGCUCUUUCGGAAAUUCCAGCGAAACUUUUUCGUGAGAAGCGCAAGUUGAUGUUCAAAGUCGGCAAUUGAGAUCUCUCCAUCGGAAUUUGAGUCUCCGUCUUCCUCUUUCGUCGAUUUCAACGCAACCCCUGUGCUUUUAGAAGAAGACUUGACAAAAGAUUGAUUAGUAGGAAAAGUCAUCUCAUAAGUUUGCAAAGCACCUACUAAUUCUUCGACUUUCAUCUCGUCCGGAUGCUUAACCGUUUCGAUCGCGGCAACCUUUGCCUGAAAGCGUUCCGGAAGAGUUCGAAGAAUCUUUCUAAUAACCUUUGAAUCCGGAAUUUUCUCUCCCAAGUUAGCACAUGUAUUCACAACGUCUUGUAGACGUGUAUAGUACUCGGUAAAGGUCUCGUUUUCAUCCAUAGAAAUAGAAUCAAACUUGCUUGUUAGCAUUUGCAAUUUUUUAACCUUUACUAAGCUCGUUCCUUCAUGUGUAACUUGUAGAGUAUCCCAAAUUUUCUUUGCCGUUUCGCACCGAAACACGAGUAAACUCCGUUUGAGACAAUGCAUUAAAUAAAGCGUUUAUGCCCUUGCCGUUAAACGAAGAUGUCUCGUUUUCUUCUUUCGUCCAUUUGUUCCGUGGUUUUAGCUUUUCAACAUUAUCGACCUUUUCUAUCGGAUGUUUCCACCCAAAUUCAAUUGAUUGCCAAACCCGCUCAUCGAUAGCAAUUAGAAAAGCUCUCAUGCGAACUUUCCAAUAGGCAUAAUUCGUGUCGUCGAAGAGCGGAGGUCGAUUAAUGUUACCAACUUCGGCCAUUAGAUAACAAUUUAUCUAGAUCCCGCUCUAAUACCAAUUGAAAGUUUUGAGGAGCCCAAGGAUCUAUCUAGAUUGUAUCUAUCACCUAGAGGGGGGUGAAUAGGUGAACGACCAAAAACCACAAAUCUCGAUACAAUAAAAAUAAAUACGAAAAAUAAAAAGCACACCGAGAUUUACGUGGGAAAACUCCAACUUGGAGAAAAACCCACGAGGACCAACACGCGAAAAAAUAAUUCACUAAGAGAAAAGAUUACAAGGUGAUUACCGACUCCACAGACUCAACCUCUCUUAACCUCCUAUGAAUCUUCGCGCUACCCUCCGGGUUGUCUACGCCCUCACGUUCGAAUCCACGAACGCCUCCACUUCGAAUCCACAAAGCUUCAAUCAGGCCGAAUCCACGACGCCACUCGAAUCCACGAGCCAACGCUCCGAAUCCACGAACCGCCUUUGUUCACGCCGAAUCCACGACGCCGUUCAUGAAGAGGAUCAUGAUUAU